UUUGUUGUAAUUUAGAUAUUUUGUUAUUAUUAUUUUUAAAUAAUUUACCAAUUAAUACCGUUCUCUUUUAGUUAAUAUUAAAGCACUACCAUGUUGCCCAGUUCUUAGGUUUCUAGUAUAUAUAAUAUACAUGGAUAACUGUGUAUAACUCUGUUUUCUUUUGAUUGAUUUUUAGUCAUUUCAUUUCAGCUCCGUUUUUUUACCUUGCUUUAAAGUUAUUUUUGUUCUUCUAGAGAGUAUAUCACUUUUAUUUUUUCAGACUGAUGAUUGGAAGGUUAUGGUUUGUUGAGAAAAGAACAAUGAUAAGAAGCAGAGAGAUUGAGUCAUGUUAUGAUUGAAUCAAAAGAUUGUACUGAGUAUUUUGUGUCUUGGAAAAGAGCUAUAUAUAGAUACUGCAAGUCAUGUUUUUGUUGUCUUUGCUUCAACUGCUAAUCAGGGAAUACAUUUAUUUCCAAGAAAGUUGACAACAAGAAGAAAAAGAAACUUAAGAAGGUGGAAGAUAAGAUGCUUUGAUGGGGUGGUCGUGAUGAUGCAAAGUUGUCUAUUCCAGCUACUGUUGUUCUUCGUUAUAUGUUCAUGCCUGCUGAAAUGAGGCAAAAUGCAUUGCUUGGAGUGGCUACAAAUGAUGAUGGAAAGCAAGUGGAGGAAGAUGCUAGAUAUCCACCAUGGGUGCAAUGUUGCCUGAAAUCUCAUUAUCUGGAUAAAUAUGAUAUUUGGGGAAGUCGACAGUAUCGAAUAUUUGGCACUAGAUUGGUGGUUAUUAGGAUAGGUACUCAUUGUCUUGUAUGUUGGUUGGAAAUUGUAUAGCAUGUUAGCUUUACCAUGUGAUUUAAGAUUUGUUGGUUUAAGUUUUCAGGUCUUUGUCUCCUGGGAGCUAUAAUAUAAUUUGAUGACAGUGUUGAAUGUUUUAAACUAAUUUGUGGAUUGUUAAUACAA
This is a long non-coding RNA of Humulus lupulus (European hop), 936 nucleotides long. RefSeq lists it as uncharacterized. The transcript is spliced from 5 exons. NCBI's taxonomy places the organism in Eukaryota, Viridiplantae, Streptophyta, Magnoliopsida, Rosales, Cannabaceae. The record is from RefSeq and is a predicted model, not a curated record.